AACGAACGCUGGCGGCGUGCCUAACACAUGCAAGUCGUGCGAGAAAGUUCCUUCGGGAGCGAGUAAAGCGGCGCACGGGUGAGUAACACGUAGGUAACCUGCCCCCAGUCUGGAACAACUAGAGGAAACUCUAGCUAAUGCCGGAUGAGACCACGAUCCCUUCGGGGGGUUGCGGGCCCAAAAGGAUUGGGCCUCUACUUGUAAGCUAUCGCUGAGGGAUGGGCCUGCGGGCCAUUAGCUUGUUGGUGAGGUAACGGCUCACCAAGGCUGUGAUGGCUAGCUGGUCUGAGAGGAUGACCAGCCACACUGGGACUGAGACACGGCCCAGACUCCUACGGGAGGCAGCAGUGGGACUAUUGCGCAAUGGGCGAAAGCCUGACGCAGCGACGCCGCGUGGGUGAUGAAGGCC
Molecule: ribosomal RNA, 409 nt
Filed under: uncultured bacterium
Lineage: Bacteria
Description: bacterial SSU rRNA
Rfam family: Bacterial small subunit ribosomal RNA
Source: RNAcentral